RNAcentral lists this ribosomal RNA (253 nucleotides) under uncultured bacterium. Its description in RNAcentral is "partial 16S ribosomal RNA". It matches the Rfam family "Bacterial small subunit ribosomal RNA", at positions 524 to 776 of the family's 1533-position model. The record is from RNAcentral.
UACGUAGGGUGCGAGCGUUAAUCGGAAUUACUGGGCGUAAAGCGUGCGCAGGCGGUUUGCUAAGUCAGGCGUGAAAGCCCUGGGCUUAACCUAGGAAUGGCGUUUGAAACUAGCGAGCUGGAGUGCGGCAGAGGGGGGUGGAAUUCCUGGUGUAGGAGUGAAAUCCGUAGAUAUCAGGAGGAACACCGGUGGCGAAGGCGGCUGCCUGGACCGAUAUUGACGCUGAGACGCGAAAGCGUGGGGAGCAAACAGG